CAUGUAGGUGGUCUUGUAAGUCAAAGGUGAAAUGGCCCGGCUCAACCAGGUCAUUGCCUUUGAAACUGCAGGACUCGAGUGCGGAAGAGGAAAGCGGAAUUCCCAGUGUAGCGGUGAAAUGCGUAGAUAUUGGGAGGAACACCGGUGGCGAAGGCGGCUUUCUGGUCCGAUACUGACACUGAGAUGCGAAAGCCAGGGGAGCAAACGGGAUUAGAUACCCCGGUAGUCCUGGCCGUAAACGAUGAGUACUAGGUGUUAGAGGUAUCCACUCCUCUAGUGCCGCAGCUAACGCAUUAAGUACUCCACCUGGGGACUACGACCGCAAGGUUGAA
RNAcentral lists this ribosomal RNA (332 nucleotides) under uncultured bacterium. RNAcentral's name for it is "bacterial SSU rRNA". It matches the Rfam family "Bacterial small subunit ribosomal RNA", at positions 568 to 898 of the family's 1533-position model. The record is from RNAcentral.